AUCUAUAGUCGGCACGUCUGGUAGCAUUUCUGGCUGCUGUUGACCUUGUUUUUGGAGUAAAACACGGUGGAAGCUGAAUUAGUGAGGAUGACUCCUGCUCCUGUCAUCUCUAAGCUCCUCACACAUCUUUACCUGCACAUGAGGAAAAUCACUCCUGUAGAAUGCAGAUGUUCAGAGGGAGAUGAUGCCACAUCUGGUCCAGCUGAUGGAAGGUCUUGAAGUUCUCUGACUGGCCUUGACUGAAGAUGGUCGUCUCACUGGAUUUAAGGUUCAGAUGCUCAGUAACAAACUCCACCAAUGUGCCAACAGGGAAGCUUUAGGUUUAUUAAAUGUUGCUAUGAAGGUAUCGCUGUUUUUCUUUGUGAAUGCAAUGUGCUCCAACUGAAACUUGAAUUAGAAGUUAGAAGUAAAUCCUUCCAUCUGAAAGGAUUUAGUUGCAUUAAUAACCUCAUAACAUUCUAAUUUUUAUUCCAGUCUUGGUUGAAAAUAGAAUCUCUGUAUUGAUUCAGGUAAAAACUGAACUUCACAGCAUGUUGGAGCAAAACAACCAGAUGAAAACUGUGAUGGUGUUGGAUUGUCAGACCGUAAUGUUGCAGCUCAAAGCAGCUUUUCUAUCUCAGUUCAUUCUGACAUUCAGCUAUGAAUCAACACAGCAGAUGGUGAUCCAUGCUGUGGAAGUCUCACAUCUCCUGAUUUAAUGGAGCUGCUUUGCACUUUUUACACUGUUUAUUCACCAACACUUUAUUUAAUAAAAGUCCCAUCUAGUUUUUAUGAGGAAUGUGAUGUUUUAAUCUCUCUGUGAAUAACUGCAGUCUAAUGCAACAGCUGGAGUUGUAACAUCUGUCCUGAUAUUGAUCAUGAAGGUAUUGAUCAUAAUGAUCAAAUGAGUUUGUUUUUACUGCCAGCUACCAUUCAGUCUAAAAUAUUAAGAAUAAAUAAAUAUGCAUAAUGUGGAAAUAAACAGAUUUUAUUUUUAUUUAUUCCUACAGCUGCUGCAUUUAAAGUUCUAGAAUGUGGAGGAAUUUAGUCUCACAAUCACAGACAAUAAAUAUUAUCUGAAAGUCGGGUUAUUGUUGUUUAUCAGCACAAUACAAAAAGAUUAAUGUUAGAAAUAUUCCAGUUAAGACUUUAGAAUAUCAAGAUUUAUGUAAAUUUAUCUCAGUGAUAUAAAUGUUCAGGUUAAGAUUGUACAGUGAUAUUUAUUAUGUAAGUUUAGCUGAUUAAAGUUUGACUCUGCACUACAAUAUUAUUUAAAUUGACAUCAUUAUUAUAAUAUUUAGGGUCAGACCCUACAGUAUUGGUAUUAAGAAAUCAAAUAUUCUUUAAACUCUAAAUACACAGAACUAAUUUGGAUAUAUUUAAGUGAAACUACAAUAUUAUUUGACACAAAUCUAUCUAAAUCAAAUUUUAAUAAUUUUCACACCAAACAUUUACUGGACUGAUUUAAAUAUUAAAAUCACUCCUUUCUAAUCCUCUGCUGUACGUUCAAACCUGAGGCCUUAAAUAGAAACACACAAGUAUCUGUUUGAAGGAACGUCUGAAGAGUCCUGGUUCCAGAACAUGAUGAUAGAAUUAUAGACGAACUUUAACAAAAGCUGCCUGAGAGUUUACAGGUUUUUAAUGUUAGAUUUCUUCAGUAAUUUAAUGAGUUAUCAGCAAAAAUCAAGUGUUCAUUUGAUGAACUUCAUUUCCUAAAACAUCCAGAAUUGGAGCUCAUAUCUUUGGCAGCUGUAAAGUUUCUGCUCCUUCAAAGUUCACAACACAAUGAAUGAAUUCCUAAAACACUCUCAAUGCUGGAGAGCGUUUGUGAUGCUGAAGCAGUGACCAGUUUUUCUGUUUCUUCUCUGGAGAUGCACAAUGAGGGACGUCUGCAGAGACUGAGAAAGAGUCUCACCACAUCCUGACAUGAGGAAAAAGACUUUAUUGAAGACUACAAUGAGAAAAACUAUCAGACAGCAGACGGCUGCAUUCAAGGUGAGCUCUGAACAUUUGAUCUGGAACAGGAAUUCAAUAACAGCAGCAUGAGCUUCAUUUCAGUCUGUAGCUGCUGAAUUCAUGGAUGAAUCAUCUGGCACUAGAGAAGAAGACCAUCAAACAUCCACGUCAGCUGAUGGAGGUCCAAGAGUCUCACCAAACAACCAACCUACAGAGUGAAGACCUCAAAUCUGAUUGGACGGCCUCCUAUUCAGCCACGUGUGAACAAAUGCCUCUAAGCUGAUUUGUUUUCUAAAAUAAAUCUAGUUUGUGUCCUAA
This is a long non-coding RNA of Amphiprion ocellaris (clown anemonefish), 2253 nucleotides long. RefSeq lists it as uncharacterized. Lineage: Eukaryota; Metazoa; Chordata; Actinopteri; Pomacentridae. The record is from RefSeq and is a predicted model, not a curated record. The transcript has 3 exons.